This 258-nucleotide unclassified non-coding RNA is filed under the name Hevea brasiliensis (rubber tree). Lineage: Eukaryota; Viridiplantae; Streptophyta; Magnoliopsida; Malpighiales; Euphorbiaceae. The record is from RNAcentral.
CCGGGUCGGUGCCGUCAUGGCUAAAAGAGGAGCGAUUGGAUCUGGAGAGUCCGGGAGCGACGGAGGAUGCAUUAUAGAAACAAAUCAGCCCGAGAAGGGCAAUAAGUGCGAUUAGAACGUAGGUAAUUAGCCUGGAAGUGCGAAGUUGCUCGCUCUUCUGCUUCAUUUCUCGAUUCUGCUCUGUAUAAUAAACCAGACCAAACAAAAUUGGACGAUAGGAACAAAGAUAGUGACUGCUAAACCCUAGAAGCAGAUUUG